RNAcentral lists this ribosomal RNA (613 nucleotides) under Proteus mirabilis. RNAcentral's name for it is "bacterial SSU rRNA". It matches the Rfam family "Bacterial small subunit ribosomal RNA", at positions 767 to 1379 of the family's 1533-position model. The record is from RNAcentral. Lineage: Bacteria; Pseudomonadati; Pseudomonadota; Gammaproteobacteria; Enterobacterales; Morganellaceae.
AGCAAACAGGAUUAGAUACCCUGGUAGUCCACGCUGUAAACGAUGUCGAUUUAGAGGUUGUGGUUUUGAACCGUGGCUUCUGGAGCUAACGCGUUAAAUCGACCGCCUGGGGAGUACGGCGGCAAGGUUAAAACUCAAAUGAAUUGACGGGGGCCCGCACAAGCGGUGGAGCAUGUGGUUUAAUUCGAUGCAACGCGAAGAACCUUACCUACUCUUGACAUCCAGCGAAUCCAUUAGAGAUAGAGGAGUGCCUUCGGGAACGCUGAGACAGGUGCUGCAUGGCUGUCGUCAGCUCGUGUUGUGAAAUGUUGGGUUAAGUCCCGCAACGAGCGCAACCCUUAUCCUUUGUUGCCAGCACGUAAUGGUGGGAACUCAAAGGAGACUGCCGGUGAUAAACCGGAGGAAGGUGGGGAUGACGUCAAGUCAUCAUGGCCCUUACGAGUAGGGCUACACACGUGCUACAAUGGCAGAUACAAAGAGAAGCGACCUCGCGAGAGCAAGCGGAACUCAUAAAGUCUGUCGUAGUCCGGAUUGGAGUCUGCAACUCGACUCCAUGAAGUCGGAAUCGCUAGUAAUCGUAGAUCAGAAUGCUACGGUGAAUACGUUCCCGGGC